CUGAACUGUCAACACGAGUUGUUGCUGGUCCUCAAAUGGGGGCAUGUGCACACUCUGUUUACACAUCCACUCACACCUGUGCACACUCUGUAGUUCUGUGGUCCUGGGGACACUGUCCUCUGGCUGCGGUUCUGCAUCUUUACACACACACACUGUGACAAAGUCUAAUAGGAUGUAUGUAGCGUUCAACGCAAUAUAAUACAACUUUCAGCAACGGAUCUCUUGGCUCUCGCAUCGAUGAAGAACGCAGCGAAAUGCGAUAAGUAAUGUGAAUUGCAGAAUUCAGUGAAUCAUCGAAUCUUUGAACGCACCUUGCGCCCUUUGGCCAUUCCGAAGGGCAUGCCUGUUUGAGUAUCAUGAACACCUCAACCCUCAUGGUUUUCCAUGAUGGGCUUGGACUUUGGGGGUCUUGCUGGAUUGUAGUCAGCUCCCCUUAAAUGAAUCAGCUUGCCAGUGUUUGGUGGCAUCACGGGUGUGAUAAUUAUCUACGCUUGUGGUUUUACACCAGGUAACCUCUGACAAUGGAGGUUCACUGGAGCUCAUAAAAGUCCUCUCCUCUGUGAGGACAGCUCUUUGAAUGU
This 581-nucleotide ribosomal RNA is filed under the name Tomentella brunneocystidia. RNAcentral's name for it is "eukaryotic LSU rRNA". The stretch from base 203 to 357 matches the Rfam family "5.8S ribosomal RNA". Lineage: Eukaryota; Fungi; Basidiomycota; Agaricomycetes; Thelephorales; Thelephoraceae. The record is from RNAcentral.